RNAcentral lists this ribosomal RNA (253 nucleotides) under uncultured bacterium. RNAcentral describes it as "partial 16S ribosomal RNA". It matches the Rfam family "Bacterial small subunit ribosomal RNA", at positions 524 to 776 of the family's 1533-position model. The record is from RNAcentral.
UACGUAGGGUGCGAGCGUUAAUCGGAAUUACUGGGCGUAAAGCGUGCGCAGGCGGUUAUAUAAGACAGUUGUGAAAUCCCCGGGCUCAACCUGGGAAUUGCAUCUGUGACUGUAUAGCUAGAGCACGGUAGAGGGGGAUGGAAUUCCGCGUGUAGCAGUGAAAUGCGUAGAUAUGCGGAGGAACACCGAUGGCGAAGGCAAUCCCCUGGACCUGUACUGACGCUCAUGCACGAAAGCGUGGGGAGCAAACAGG